UUUAAAAAUUUCAUUAUUCCUAAGGCAGUGCUCGAAUCCAAGCCAGAUGUCGGUUCCUGAUGAUGGUCAUCAUUUUAAUCAUGGAAAAAGAGAAAGAGAAACGAAAUGACCCUUUUAAUUAAUUUCCUUCAAAUAUAAUCCAAACCCUUUGGACACAAAUUUAAAGUCAUUGACAAAGAUCACAACGUAAUGACAUGAAUGAAAAUCUGUCGAUUCCCUUAACUAAAUUCUGCUUUUCCUUUUCUCAAGGUGUCUCUUUAUAUCAUCACAAUCUAUUAAUAAUCUUUUAUGAACUUUUUCCUAGGGAUUAUUAGCCUUCUAAUGGGCAAUAAAUUCAUCUGGUCACAAGGUAAAUUAUAACAACAAUCAACUAAUGUCAUGGGAUAAUUUAACCACAACCCUCAAUGGAUCUAACAGAUUACAAAGAUUUUCCUCUAAAUUGUUGUUUUUUUUUCAUCUUGACGAUAUUAUGAAAAGAUUACAAUAAGAUGCUGAUUUUUUCAUUGUUAAAAAAAGGAUUGGAUCAAUUGGCUACCAUCAAAGUUAAUUGGUCAAGUCAAUUUGAAAGUUCAACGACUCUGCUUGAUUUACCUUAAUCAACAUCAUUAUUAUUUCGACAACAAUCAAAUUGCCACAAAUGAAGAAAAUACCAAUUCUACCUACAGAAAAUGUCAACACUGAUAAUAUAAUCAUCGGUAUUUGAUGAUUACAACAAUUACCUGAUUGUUGAAAAAAAAAACGAUCUCUAUAUUCAGUCAAUUAUUUUACUACCAAGAGACAAUUAAUACUUUUAAUUGUUAUAAAGUUCACUCAUCAUUAACCAGUAAACAAAUACCUAGUAAUUAAUCAACUGAUUAUGAUGAUUAUUGUGAAAUUACUGUUUACAGUUAUUUAUGAUUAUCUCUUAAUUGAAAUGUCAAUAACUAUUUGGAGUUAUCAAUUUGAUUGUGAUUGGAAGAUAUAUUUAUAUAUAUAAAUCUAUUGAAAUGAUUACAUAUCCUCAUUCAGGAGACAAAAGAUAAUCAGUUAAAUCGUUCAACUAGUGAUGGUAAUUAAAGAUGAUCCAUUAAUUAAUUAACAGGUAUCAAUGGGGAACCUGAUGUUUAAGACCAAGGCUAAUUAAAUGAUUACUCUACUUGAAACUAAUCAAGGCCAAUGUGAGACAAUCAACAGUCAAAUAUAAUCAUCAUAAUAAUCAACAACAACCAGUGUUCAAAGGGAAAAAGUCGGAUGAGAGCAAUUAACCACCAGAGAAAUGUAGUCAACGAAAAUCAAUUCAAUUCAGUUAAUCUCAUUAACAAUCAAAUAUUGACAAUAAUCAAUCCUGACAAUUUAACCUAUGGUGUUUUAAUAGUGAAUCUUAUCAUCUACAAUUAACUAACAAUCAAAAUCAAAUCAAUUGUGAUAACAUUUACACUUUCUUAAAAUGCUCUCUCUCUUUAAUGGAUUUUAAUUGUAUAAAAAAAAAGUUGAUAAUUGUUGUUGGAGGCAAUUAUUAAUUACUAAUAAUGGUUAAGCCUUAAAUUAGCUUCUAAUUGCUCUUCAUUUGAUUUACAAUUAACUCAAUUAUAAUUAGGCCAAGAUGAUUUCAAUCAUACGAAAAAAAAAGUUAAACUAAUCAACCAAUUUAUUAACUAACUUUGUACAAUUGCGAAAGCUUUUUAAUUCAAAGUUUAAAUUUGAUCAGGCUAAUCAAAAUAAUUACUUAAUUGUUGUAAAUUUAUUUCAGUUAACUAAACAAAAAAUUAACAACCAACACCAAUCAUCAGUCAUAAUAAUAAUAAUCAAUUGUAAUUUCCGGGUUAACUAUUAACUACAACAAUCAACUAACCAAAGGUUGGGUUAACUAAACAUGAUAAUAAUAAAUGAAAAUCACAUUUAUGUAAAUAAUAAUAACAAUCAAUCAUUAAUUGUUUAAUAAUGAUGCUGAUAGUUAACUAAUUAAACAAUCAAUUAGUACAACAAUUAAGUAAACCUUAUAUAUGGAAACCGUUUUUGGUGGUAGACAAGAAAAGUUAUUGUUUCUCAUUUUCGUUUGAAACUUUUUUGUUUCUCUCGCAAUUGUUACGAUGUUUUCCUUGAUUGUGGAAAUUUAAUCAGACAGAAUUGCAAUUAAGUUUAAUUGU
Long non-coding RNA from Panonychus citri (citrus red mite), 2126 nucleotides. RefSeq lists it as uncharacterized. The record is from RefSeq and is a predicted model, not a curated record. Lineage: Eukaryota; Metazoa; Arthropoda; Arachnida; Trombidiformes; Tetranychidae. The transcript has 3 exons.